RNAcentral lists this unclassified non-coding RNA (200 nucleotides) under soil metagenome. RNAcentral describes it as "partial contains internal transcribed spacer 2 and large subunit ribosomal RNA". The record is from RNAcentral.
UUCGAGCGUCAUUUCAACCCUCAAGCCCAGCUUGGUAUUGGGUGUCACCUGGCAAUGGUGCGCCUUAAAAUCAGUGGCGGUGCUAUCUGGCUUCAAGUGUAGUAAAUAUCCUCGCUAUAGGGACUUGGUGAUUAUUGGCCAGUAACCCCCAAUUUUCUAAGUUUGACCUCGGAUCAGGUAGGGAUACCCGCUGAACUUAA